UCCAGACUCCUACGGGAGGCAGCAGUGGGGGAUAUUGCACAAUGGGGGGAACCCUGAUGCAGCGACGCCGCGUGGGUGAAGAAGCGCCUCGGCGCGUAAAGCCCUGUCAGCAGGGAAGAAAAUGACGGUACCUGAAGAAGAAGCCCCGGCUAACUACGUGCCAGCAGCCGCGGUAAUACGUAGGUGGCAAGCGUUAUCCGGAUUUAUUGGGUGUAAAGGGCGUGUAGGCGGGAAAGCAAGUCAGAUGUGAAAACUAUGGGCUCAACCCAUAGCCUGCAUUUGAAACUGUUGGUCUUGAGUAUCGGAGAGGCAGGCGGAAUUCCUAGUGUAGCGGUGAAAUGCGUAGAUAUUAGGAGGAACACCAGUGGCGAAGGCGGCCUGCUGGACGACAACUGACGGUGAGGCGCGAAAGCGUGGGGAGCAAACAGGAUUAGAUACCCUCGUAC
Molecule: ribosomal RNA, 446 nt
Filed under: uncultured bacterium
Lineage: Bacteria
Description: bacterial SSU rRNA
Rfam family: Bacterial small subunit ribosomal RNA
Source: RNAcentral